ACGAACGCUGGCGGCAGGCCUAACACAUGCAAGUCGAACGGACGUAGCAAUACGUUAGUGGCGCACGGGUGAGUAACGCGUGGGAACCUACCCUGGGGUACGGAACAACGGAGGGAAACUUCCGCUAAUACCGUAUACGCCUUUCGAGGGAAAGAUUUAUCGCCCUGGGCGGGGCCCGCGUCUGAUUAGCUUGUUGGUGAGGUAACGGCUCACCAAGGCGACGAUCGGUAGCUGGUCUGAGAGGAUGAUCAGCCACACUGGGACUGAGACACGGCCCAGACUCCUACGGGAGGCAGCAGUGGGGAAUAUUGGACAAUGGGGGCAACCCUGAUCCAGCCAUGCCGCGUGAGUGAUGAAGGCCUUCGGGUUGUAAAGCUCUUUCGUCCGCGACGAUGAUGACGGUAGCGGAAGAAGAAGCCCCGGCUAACUUCGU
RNAcentral lists this ribosomal RNA (433 nucleotides) under uncultured bacterium. Its description in RNAcentral is "bacterial SSU rRNA". It matches the Rfam family "Bacterial small subunit ribosomal RNA", at positions 29 to 506 of the family's 1533-position model. The record is from RNAcentral.